This 187-nucleotide antisense RNA is filed under the name Synechococcus sp. PCC 7335. RNAcentral describes it as "Antisense RNA which regulates isiA expression". It matches the Rfam family "Antisense RNA which regulates isiA expression". The record is from Rfam by way of RNAcentral. Lineage: Bacteria; Bacillati; Cyanobacteriota; Cyanophyceae; Synechococcales; Synechococcaceae.
GAUAGCCAAAGAUGAUGCGCGGAUCCAACGUCGGGUUGGUGACUAAGCGAACAUCGCCACCGCCGGGUGCCCAGGGAUCAUAUAGGCCACCCCAGUACAUUGCUUUGGCCGCAAAGAGCAGGGCAAAGAUGCCUAAAAUCGCAAUAUGAAAGCCUAGAAUCUGUGCGACUUUGGCUCUAUCUGUCCA